Molecule: long non-coding RNA, 408 nt
Organism: Alexandromys fortis (reed vole)
Lineage: Eukaryota; Metazoa; Chordata; Mammalia; Rodentia; Cricetidae
Exons: 3
Source: RefSeq, a predicted model, not a curated record
CUUCUCCUGGGGCUCAGGAUGCCGGGGCAGCCCAAGCCGAGGGCCCGGCAGCGAUGGGGGGCCGGGCGGGGCCUACCUGGCCCAUGAGGAUCUGUACCAGCAGGUCGGUGGCCAGCACAUGCGAAGGCUCCUCGAAGCCGAUGCUGUGUCUCCCUGGGAAAGUGACUUAUCGACUCUGAAAACACGUUUUCUUCAUUGUAAAAUGGAUGGACUGGUCCACACCUUUACGAACUGCUGUGUAGUCUACAUAAAGCACUUUUCAGGGCACAGUAAAAUGAGGGGCAUCCAGCGGCCGAUGGACCAGAGUUUCUGGAUUUGGGGGCACGAAUUGGCUGGACCCUGGCCUGCAUCCUCCCAUGUAUCUCGAUAACAUAAGAAGUAGCUGAGAGAAAUCAGAAGGAAAAGCAG